UAUUUCUUAGUGUACGAUGCACGAAAAUUUUUGAUGUUUUAAGAGUAGUUUAAUUCUACAAGAAAUAA
This 68-nucleotide transfer RNA is filed under the name Ischnura senegalensis. RNAcentral's name for it is "tRNA-Gln". Lineage: Eukaryota; Metazoa; Arthropoda; Insecta; Odonata; Coenagrionidae. The record is from RNAcentral.